GAGCCUAUAGCUCAGGGGAUAGAGCACUGGUCUCCGGAACCAGGCGCCCAGGUUCGAAUCCUGGUAGGCUCGCCA
This 75-nucleotide transfer RNA is filed under the name Aneurinibacillus thermoaerophilus. Its description in RNAcentral is "tRNA_Arg_CCG". It matches the Rfam family "tRNA". From Rfam's summary of the family: Transfer RNA (tRNA) molecules are approximately 80 nucleotides in length. Their secondary structure includes four short double-helical elements and three loops (D, anti-codon, and T loops). The record is from RNAcentral. RNAcentral also lists the same sequence under 1 other name. Lineage: Bacteria; Bacillati; Bacillota; Bacilli; Caryophanales; Paenibacillaceae.